RNAcentral lists this ribosomal RNA (253 nucleotides) under uncultured bacterium. Its description in RNAcentral is "partial 16S ribosomal RNA". It matches the Rfam family "Bacterial small subunit ribosomal RNA", at positions 524 to 776 of the family's 1533-position model. The record is from RNAcentral.
UACGAAGGGGGCUAGCGUCGCUCGGAAUCACUGGGCGUAAAGCGCACGUAGGCGGACUCUUAAGUCAGGGGUGAAAUCCUGGAGCUCAACUCCAGAACUGCCCUUGAUACUGGGAGCCUUGAGUUCGGGAGAGGUGAGUGGAACUGCGAGUGUAGAGGUGAAAUUCGUAGAUAUUCGCAAGAACACCAGUGGCGAAGGCGGCUCACUGGCCCGAUACUGACGCUGAGGUGCGAAAGCGUGGGGAGCAAACAGG